This 440-nucleotide ribosomal RNA is filed under the name uncultured bacterium. Its description in RNAcentral is "partial 16S ribosomal RNA". It matches the Rfam family "Bacterial small subunit ribosomal RNA", at positions 339 to 795 of the family's 1533-position model. The record is from RNAcentral.
CUACGGGUGGCUCCAGUGGGGAAUAUUGGACAAUGGGCGCAAGCCUGAUCCAGCAAUGCCGCGUGAGUGAAGACGGCCUUAGGGUUGUAAAACUCUCUCGCUAGGGAAGAUAAUGACUGUACCUAGUAAAGAAGUCCCGGCUAACUCCGUGCCAGCAGACCGCGGUAAUACGGAGGGGACUAGCGUUGUUCGGAAUUACUGGGCGUAAAGAGUUCGUAGGCGGACUGACAAGUUAGAGGUGAAAUCCCAGGGCUCAACCCUGGAACUGCCUUUAAAACUGUCAGUCUAGAGACCGGAAGAGGUUAGGGGAAUACCUAGUGUAGAGGUGAAAUUCGUAGAUAUUAGGUGGAACACCAGUGGCGAAGGCGCCUAACUGGUCCGGUACUGACGCUGAGGAACGAAAGCGUGGGGAGCAAACAGGAUUAGAUACCCCAGUAGUC